This is a long non-coding RNA of Megalobrama amblycephala (Wuchang bream), 2143 nucleotides long. RefSeq lists it as uncharacterized. The record is from RefSeq and is a predicted model, not a curated record. Lineage: Eukaryota; Metazoa; Chordata; Actinopteri; Cypriniformes; Xenocyprididae. The transcript is spliced from 10 exons.
CGAGGACUUUUGACCUGAAUAUGCACCAGCAUUACGGGGACAUUUGGGUUUAUGAGGACACAGGCCAUGUCCUUGUAAUUCCGGCAAUGUAGAUGCCUUUCUCUAUGUCCCAGAAGCACCCUCUCCAAUUUUCGCGGCAUGUCCUUAUAUACCACAAAAACCUGAUUUUAUACCAUACACUGUGUAUCCUCUGUGUACGAGAGUGCGCCCCUGCAGCCGGGUCCUGGUACUGUACCGGCGUCAUCGAAAAUUUGCAUUUUUCACACAAGUGUAAGUAUUGAGGCCUGUGAUUGGUCAGAUCGGUACUGGUAGGCGGGAAAUCACGAAAACAAGAUGGCGCCGACGGGCGGAGCCUAAUUCCGCAGCCCCUAUUGGUUGCAUACGCAAUGAACAACAAGCGAGACAAGAUGGCGCCGGUGGGCGGAGCCUCAUUCAGCUUCAGCUUCAGCAUAGAAGCUGCACCUGAGAAGACAUCUGAGCACCUGAUGGAGGCUACUGUUAUUUUAAAGAAGAUGACAGAAGACACAUCAGAUCAUGCUGAAGUGAAACAGUGAUGGAGAAAGCCCAAUCUCUGGAGGAAGAUGAUUUCACCUGUGUCAGAUGGUAACUGAGAAGAAUCAGAUUCAGAAGAAUAAGAUACAGCAACAAUAAAGAUAAGCCGUGAGACCCCGCUGUCAUCAGUGACGAUUGUGCUGCUCUUACUGUGGGACUAGACCAGACUCUCAGUGAGGUUGGACCCUCCGCUCUCAAAAUGAACACUCUGUCCCAGUCAGAAGUCAGAGAUGUACAGAAGGUGAGCCCUGAGAAGGACCAGUUAUCAAUGGACAAUCAAGAUGGUGUUAGACGGAGAAGAUGAGAUCAGUAUGAUGGAUCCUAAUGCCAGUGAUCCUGAUGAAAGUGUUUCUCAGGAUGUUGUUCCUGCUGGAGCUGCGCAGGCGUCUCCAGUAAUGCUGAUGUUCAGAAGAUGCCCAUUUGGAAAACUGCUGAGUUUGUCAAGGUACCUGAGGUUUAAAUUAGAGUACAACCAUCAUUGUAAGUACAUGAGCUUUAAAAGAGUGGGAGCUUAAUAAAGUAUGUAUCUGUACAGAGAAUGAGAGUUCGGCAGAAAUUAAAAAACGGAAAGGAAAAGGACAAGACGGAAAGGACAAAAGGUUUGCUGGUCAGAUGCUGAAGUUACAGCUGUAAUUGAUCAUUUUAAGGCACAUAUGACCAAAGGAAAAUUGUGUCUCAUUUGAUGCUGUUCUAUAAGGAUUAUUAUUUUAGUUGUUGGUUAUGUUAGUUUCAUUCUAGAGCAUGAAUAUACUAAGACUUCACUCUGUAAAUCUCUAAAGUUUAACUGUUCUUUAAAGCAGUAGUUUGUCACAAAAACAUGACAAUUUAAUAUUCAACAUUAUUAUUGAUCUGACUGCAUUGACACUAUUGUAUGAGAACUGAACUGAGCUGGACGAUGACAUGACUGUUGUCUCCAGAGCUGCUGCUGCUGUAUAGAUGAAGUGAACUAAAUUAAUAACUGAUGAGUUUUACAACGUAAUUGAAUCAACACUGAACUGACUCAGGCUGAACAAUGACACAAUACUCUUCUAGAGCUGCUGUACAGCCCAAACAAUCUUUGUUGAACAAUGUUCCUGUUAUGAGGGCUGCUUUGAAACAAUAUGUAGUUUAAAAAGCGCUUUAUAAAUAAAGGUGACUUGACUUGACUCAACAAUUCUGUUCACAUUUUUUCAAAGUUUUGAAUGGUUGCCAUUUCAAUAUGUCAAAACAGUAAUGAUGCUGUAUGCUUUCUGAUUACACAGAUUACACAGUUGUCCAUGUGUUAUUGACCUAGUUUUUUAGUUGUGGAUUUCAUUUUCCCCUUAAAAUGCCAUUCCAUGAUGGUAUUACAUGGUUAAAACCGGAAAAACUCGAUGUUUAUGUUGUUAUUUUAAGUCAUAAUUAAAGUACUUCUAAUACACACUGGUCCCUGUAAUGUUGGAGUGUGUCAGGUGUGUAUUGUGUUUAAGAUCAGGUACUCAUUAAUCACCUCAGUCUUGGUAAUACACCAUGUCGUCAGGUUUGUGUGUUGUGUGUGGUCAUGUACCUGUAAAACACACUAGUCCCUGUAAUCCAGAGAAAUGACAUGUUUUGUGUAUUGUACAAUAGGUGU